UGGAGGCAGUGUGGUUUAAUUACGUAAGCAACGCGAAGAACCUUACCAGGCCUUGACAUGCAGAGAACUUUCCAGAGAUGGAUUGGUGCCUUCGGGAACUCUGACACAGGUGCUGCAUGGCUGCCGUCAGCUCGUGUCGUGAGAUGUUGGGUUAAGUCCCGUAACGAGCGCAACCCUUGUCCUUAGUUACCAGCACGUUAUGGUGGGCACUCUAAGGAGACUGCCGGUGACAAACCGGAGGAAGGUGGGGAUGACGUCAAGUCAUCAUGGCCCUUACGGCCUGGGCUACACACGUGCUACAAUGGUCGGUCAAAAGGGUUGCCAAGCCGCGAGGUGGAGCUAAUCCCAUAAAACCGAUCGUAGUCCGGAUCGCAGUCUGCAACUCGACUGCGUGAAGUCGGAAUCGCUAGUAAUCGUGAAUCAGAAUGUCACGGUGAAUACGUUCCCGGGCUUU
Molecule: ribosomal RNA, 454 nt
Filed under: uncultured Pseudomonas sp.
Lineage: Bacteria; Pseudomonadati; Pseudomonadota; Gammaproteobacteria; Pseudomonadales; Pseudomonadaceae
Description: bacterial SSU rRNA
Rfam family: Bacterial small subunit ribosomal RNA
Source: RNAcentral